ACACCGGCAGCCCAAGUGGUGGCCAUUUUUAUUGGGCCUAAAGCGUUCGUAGCCGGCCUGAUAAGUCUCUGGUGAAAUCCCGCAGCUUAACUGUGGGAAUUGCUGGAGAUACUAUCAGGCUUGAGGUCGGGAGAGGUUAGAGGUACUCCCAGGGUAGGGGUGAAAUCCUAUAAUCCUGGGAGGACCACCUGUGGCGAAGGCGUCUAACUGGAACGAACCUGACGGUGAGUAACGAAAGCCAGGGGCGCGAACCGGAUUAGAUACCGGGGUAGUCCUGGCCGUAAACGAGGUGGACUUGGUGUUGGGAUGGCCUCGAGCUGCCCCAGUGCCGAAGGGAAGCUGUUAAGUCCACCGCCUGGGAAGUACGGCCGCAAGGCUGAAACUUAAAGGAAUUGGCGGGG
Molecule: ribosomal RNA, 401 nt
Filed under: uncultured bacterium
Lineage: Bacteria
Description: partial 16S ribosomal RNA
Rfam family: Archaeal small subunit ribosomal RNA
Source: RNAcentral